Molecule: non-coding RNA, 615 nt
Organism: Myodes glareolus (Bank vole)
Lineage: Eukaryota; Metazoa; Chordata; Mammalia; Rodentia; Cricetidae
Source: RefSeq, a predicted model, not a curated record
GGCAGAGGCAAGGUGGAACCCUCUGGGCUGCUCACAUCAUCAGCUUCAGUCUCUGCAAAGAUAAGUCAUUCAUUGCUGAGCAUGUCUUGGCUCUGUAAUGUCACCUGAGUCACUUCAUGAUCUCAUGAUGUGUAGAUGGCAAGAACCUGGACACAUUCCACAUAGCCAGGUACUCAUAUGACUCUUCUCUUGGUUACCUCAAAGGUCCUCCGAACUCAAGCCUCUGACUGAGUUUUCCCAAAGUGUGUCCCAUUUCCAGAAAUGGCAACACCAUCCCAUAUAGCGGGUGGGGAAACCAAGGCUAAGGAGGAGAGCGGACUUGCAUGGGAGAAGCUGAGAAGUCCCUCCAAGCUGGCCUCUUGGCAAUGGGAGCAAAGCCUUUUAGCAGAUGAAGAAUGUCAACAUUUCCUCUGCUGACUAGGGUUUAGAAGAAUCCUUAGAACAAGCCUAAGCCCUGAGCCAAGCAAUUCAAGUUACCAAAGCCAGAACGGUGGGCAGGAGAAAUCGGCCCAAAGGAUUAUGGGAGAGCCCCACUCCACGCAAAUCCUAGGAGAAACUUGUGGAAGAAUGCAGAGAACAGGCAAUAAAGUUCCUAGUUAUUGAGAUAACAACAAA